Macadamia integrifolia is the source of this 8009-nucleotide long non-coding RNA. RefSeq lists it as uncharacterized. The transcript is spliced from 2 exons. NCBI's taxonomy places the organism in Eukaryota, Viridiplantae, Streptophyta, Magnoliopsida, Proteales, Proteaceae. The record is from RefSeq and is a predicted model, not a curated record.
CGGACUGGACUAGAUCUCCUGCUCAAGGAAGGAUUAAUGUGUUAAACUUUUAGACUUAGAGAAUAUUUGAUUUUAGAGGGAAGAAGUUAGCCAAAACCUUGAUGGGGCCAUCCUUUCUCCCAAAUUCCCAAUUUUUCUCCCCCGUUUUGGAAGAGAGGAAGGGCUAUACUUAUAGCCUUGGGACUUGAGACAAUUCUCUUUUAUUUCCGAUGUGGGACUAAAAAACUAGAGAAAAUUGUUCAAAAAGGCUUGCUUUUGGACAAAGGGGUUUGGGCGCCAUGUGGCACUCCUUGGUUGCUCGGAAUAGAAUCUGAUACCGAACUUUGGAGUCAACUUUCAGGGGUCAUAUCUUUCAAACCAUUAGUCAGAAUUCGAUGUGUAAUAUGUCUUUAGAAAGCUCAAUCCGAGCACUAUCCAAUGAUGUGAGACACGAUUGUGGUCUCGACCGGAAACCUUUACGAAAAUAUGUAUAAUGUAGGGACCCGAAUUAUAUAAUGAAAGAGAGAAUCUGGCGUCGAUUCGCAUAGUUCUCGCAUCAAAGUGUAAUGUCCAACUUGAGUGGACAAACGACAAUAAUCCACAUCAAAUUCCAAUUUUUGAAAACAUUUGCUCUUGAAAGUUUAUAGGGGAAAAAUGGUCAUUUUCUACUCUAAGCUUGAAAACUCUCCAAGUCUAAAAUGUCCAACAUUUAAUUCUUCAUAUUGUCAUCAUUGCCGGGGGGUGACAAAAUUCGGUGUCUACACAUUGCACAAUAUUUUGCUUCUGCAUUGGAUUGGGAUACUAUUAGUUGCCUCUUCCUUCGCCAUGUAACCAAGUGGUCUCUAAGAAAUGUGAAAUACCUGGAAGUGGAGCGGCGAUCAUCAUUAGAACCAGCCCGAUUAGCAUCAAUAAAGGACUCAAGUUUCAAAUUGUUAUUGGAAAUAGAAUACUUUUUCCUGGUGCUGAUUUCAAGUAUUGCAGAAUCCUAUAGAAGACCUCAAGAUGUCUUUGGUCAUGGAGGAAUCAACUUACAACACCUACAACAUACGCAAUAUCUAGCCGAGUAUGUGAAAGGUAUAUCAAUAUUCCUACAAGGCUCUUAUAUCUCUCCUUAUCCAUUGAAUCUCCCUGUGUAGUUGAGUUGGUGGUUGACCUCUAUAGGAUAAUUUGAAGUCUUACAUCCAAGCAUACUUGUCUCUCUGAGGAGCUCUAGGACAUACUUUCUUUGGGAAAUGAAGAUUCCCUUACUAGAUCGGACUACUUCAAUCCCUAGGAAGUAUCUGAGCAGUCCUAGAUUUGUAGUUUCGAACUCUGAAGCCAACUGAACUUUUAACGAGGAGAUUUUCGUGUCAUUAUUUCCUAUGAUUACUAUAUCGUCAACAUAGACGAUAAGUAUAGUAACUUUGUCAGCCUUGUGUUUGACAAAUAGGGUGAGAUCAGCAUGACUUUGCAUGUAGUCAAACUUUUGCAUAACCUUCUUGAACUGGCCGAACUAGGCCCGAGGUUACUGGUUAAGGCCAUAGGGAGAUUUUUGAAACCAACACACCUUUCCAACUAUGGAUGACGAUGCAAAGCCUGGAGGAAUUUCCAUGUAUACUUCUUCCUCAAGAUCACUAUUAAGGAAUUUUUGACAUCUAGUUGUUAAAGAUUCCAUCCGAGGUUUGCAGCACAAGAUAGCAAUGCUUGAACAUAAUUCAUCUUUGUUACAUGGGAAUAGUGUCCUAGUAAUCAACGCCGUAGGUCUAUGUAAAUCCAUUGGCAACCAGUCUUGACUUGUAUCUCUCAAUGGUUCCAUCUGCCUUCUGCUUCACAGUGAAUACCCAUUUACACCCUAUUGGUUUCUUCCCUUUAGGACGGGGAACAAGCUCCCAAGUAUCAUUUUUCUUUAAGUCUUGCAUUUCUUCUACCAUAGCAUCCUUCCACUUAGGGUCUGUGAUAGCUUCUUUCCAGCCCUGUGGGAUAGACACAGAGGAUAACGAGGAAACAAAGGAAUGAUACGAUGGAGAUAAUGACUUAUAGGAAACAAAGUUAGAAAUAGGUUGUUGGAUUUAUAAUCUAACUUCCUUUCUAAUAGAAAUAGGAAGAUCAUCAUCAAAUGGAGGGGAGUUACCUAAUGGAUUUAUCUCAGAAGGCGGAGCUGGCUCAGGAGGCGUAGAUGGACAUGGUAGAUUGGAGAUAGGCUUUUCCUUUCUUCUGGAAUAUGUAAGCAUAUCCUUUUUCUCUAACACAGUAGAGGGUUCAUCUGGAAACGUUUUUGUUGUCUCUUCCUAAAUCCGAAUAAUGGACUCAGAGGAAUCUCACUAAACAUAAUCUUUUCCUCUACACUAUACCCUGAAGAGAUGAUUGAUAGUAGGACUCAUGUUCAUGAAAGUUCACAUCCAUGAUAACGAAGAGUCUACAAGUAGGGGGAUGAUAGCACUUGUAUCCAUUUUGAGAAGUAGAGUAACCAAGGAAGAGACAUCUAAAAGCCCGGGGAUCCAAUAUGGAUCGAGUGGGGGAGGAAUUGUGAGCAAAGCAAAUGCAGCCAAAGACACGGGGAGGUAGAUGAGAGGCAAGGGUAGGGUCUAGAAGUUGAUUGACUGGUGAUUUAAAGUCAAGGACACUAUAGAGUACCCGGUUUAUCAGGAAAGCAACAUUCAGAAUUACAUCCCUAAUAGAGUUUUGGAACGUGAGUGGUAAACAUCAAUGAUUGGUGACCUUAAGAAGAUGAUAGUUCUUUUUCUCUGGAAUACCAUUUUCCUUAGGAGUUCGAGCACAAGAGUUUUGGAACAAGAUGCCAUGCUGGUCAAGAAAUUGAAGGAAUUGACCAUCAAUAUACUUUGCCCUAUUAUCGCUCCAAAAGACCCGGACCUUGGCAUUGAACUGUGUUCGAAUCAUUGAAUGAAAGGGCUGGAAAAAAGAUAAAACUUCUGACUUAGUUCAUAGCAGAUAGCCCAAGUCAAACUGGUGAAUAUGGACCCCAUAAGUCAAUGAAUAAUAGAAAAUGGCAUUGUUCUUUUAUUAUUGCUAAUAGGAUAGAGGACUCGAAAAUGCUUUGGGAGCUGACAAAUGUCGCAAGUAAAUUUGUCCACAAUACAAUGUUUUAUUACAACAACAACAACAACAACAAACUCGGCCUUAUCCCAACUUAACGGGUCGGCUACAUGGAUCCAUAAAAGUAAAAGUAAAAAUAAAAAUUCCACAUAGAUUGGGGGAAGGGAGAGAUGAGAAGAUGAGAAAAGAAAAUAUGAGAAAAGAAAUGUGACAGUAAGAGGAAAGAGGCACAACCCAAGAAGUCACGAGAAUCUCAGGUACAUAGGUUGGCAACAUUGAUCCUUCCCCCCCCCCCCCCCCAAUAGGAUCUAUCCAAGGUCAUACUAGGAAAAGACCGAGACUUAAGGUAAUAAAUAACCCAAAACACGAAAUGAAGGGUGACCUAAACGGUGGUGCCAUUGAUACAGCUGGGUUAAGGCAUGAUCUUCCUGAAGAGAGUGAGAUAAAAUUAGAGGAGGUGUAGAAGUGAGAUCUAGAUCCAAGUAGUACAACCAUUUUGUACUACCAUAUCAAAUCGUUGCCCUCGUCACCAAAUCCUGAAAAACAAUGAGUGGAAUAGAAAUGAACAUGACAUUUAGGGUCAACGAUGAGACGAUAAAUUGAAAGUAAAUUGGCACAUAGAUUGGGAACAUGAGGAUAGACGACAAGAAAUGUUAGGGGAGCAAGAAACAAAACCUUUUCUGGAUAUUGCAAAUAGGGAGCCAUCUUCAACUCUUACCUUAAUUUUUAUCCAAACAAAGGAGAUAAGUUCGGAACAUGUUUGAGUUGCUAGUCAUACGGUCAAAUGCUCAAGAGUCAAGAAGCCAAGAGGCCCAAGAUGGACUAGAAGUAAAAGAAGCUAGGAAGAUACUUGAUUGGCUAGAUGGGAAGCCGGUGGAAUAGGUGUCAUGGUUGAAGGCACAGUACCAACCUAUGUCAUCAUACAUUGGAGAGAAACCUUUUGUUUUGAAGAAAAAGGAGAUGCAGCCAUAGGGGAUGAGUCGUCGGUGGUCUUAGAGAGAUGAGCCUGACGGGGAUAUCCCUAUUUCCCAACGUGCCCUCCUUAUUUAGGGCGGCCAUGUAGCUUCCAACAAGUCUCUCUGGUAUGUGGAGAGGAUGUCCACAAUAAUCACAUAUAACCGGGUCUUUAGGAUGACAAGGAUCAGUGGCAGAACCAGAGGAGUCCAAGGUCGGAGAAGCCUAAGGAGUAGUAACAAGAGCUGAUUGAGUGGGAACAACAGAAGGCAUCAUAACAGCGCGGCAACAAUCCUUGUGUUGAAUCUUAUUAUAUGCUUGGAGGAGUAUAGAAAAUGUAUCUCUGCCAAGAAUAUGUACAAGGAUCUAAUCAUAUUCCAAAUUUAAGCCAAUGAGGAAGUCAUAUAUCUGUUCCAUUUCAUGUUCCUUUUGGAAUGUAGUAGCAUCAGAAGUGCAGGUGAUAGGGACAGGGUGAUAGAAAUCCAACUGCUGCCAUAAAUUUUUGAUAGUCGCAUAAUAUGUAGAAAUAGACGGAUACUUCUGAGCGGUCUCAUGAACCUGACGGUGUCGCGUAUAAAUCUGACCAAAGUUGGAUGAGUAUUGAGCAAAAUAGGAAACCCAAGAAGGGUAUAGCUCUACAGAUGUAGGCAGUUGGCCGAACCACGUAUAUCUUGUGUAUUGUAUAUGUGAAUGUAUAUUUGAGUGCAUGGGUUGUGAAUGCUUGCAAGAUGGGUAAGUUUGUUUGAUAGACCUGGCACUGAGUGGUUGCAUGGUGGACAAGCAUGCGAUUGUGUGUGUUGAACCAAUUAUAGAGCCAUUGCAAACAAUUAUUUCUCGAAAAGAAUUUAUAGACAUUGUUCACCGUCCUCUCAGUGUCAACCUGGGAUUCACACAUGAUUCGCUUCAUUGUAGGUCUUUGUAGUUCAUUAUAUUUAGGGAAUUUACUUGAUGCUUGUUUUCCCCCCAUUUAAAUUAUAAAGGAACUUCAAUCUUCUGAGUAGUUGGUAAAUAAAUUAUAAUACAUUAGGGGAAAUGAAUGCUCCCCGGUCGUGCAGUCCCUGUGCCCAGACACAGAGGGUGGAGAAAUGAUGCCCCUACCCCUGUGAAACCUAAAAAACAGACCCUUGUUGCUGCCCAUGUGUGCCCCUCAUUGGCCCCCGCACUGGCGUAGGGGUGUGCGACCAGGGAGCGUUCUUUUCCCCAAUAAUUAAUACUCAAACUAGACAGAAGUUUGGAAUGUUUUCCAAAAUUCAUUCUGUGACUAUAAGUGAAUUAUUAUAACUUUGUUCUUGCCCCUACUGAAGGAAAUUAUUAUUAAUUAUAUUUUACCUAUUUUCUUCACUUCGAAUUGAAUCAAGGUUGCGCCCUCUCUUCCGCGCUUCCUCGCUCCCUCGCUCCCUUUCUUUUAUCAUUAUUAUUAUGUUUUCUCUAUUUAAGCAAAUUUUCAGGAGGAACAAUCAUUGGCUUUGAUGGUUACACUGAUGCAGAUGGAGGUGCUUUUGCUAAUUACACCAAACUGAAGGUUUUUCAGGCUUUUAUAUGUUUAAUCACUCAGAAAAGGAAUUAUUUUUUUGCCCGACUUGGGUGAAACACUUUAUGCAAAAACAAUAAAUAAUGAUUUACUUUCAUUACUUUCCAUGUUUAGACAGGAAAUCUGAAAUGUAGUAGUUCAGUCAUGAUAUGAAUAAAACUUACAAACCAUAUUGCUUGUAUGUAAUUCUGAGAGUAUGUUGUUAUUGUGGGUUAAUUGUUGGGAACUUCAGCCCCCAGGAGGGCAAAAGUUUUAAUAUAAAUUAUGCAAGUCUGAUGUUCUGAUAUACCUAUUAUGUUAAGUCAAUGUGGAUUCUCAUGUUGGGGAUUUGAAGGCUCUGUGUGUCUGUAGACUGCUGAGGUAGAUAAUCUAGCUUUCUUAUAGCUCCAAUGCUUGGUAUUUGAUGAGCUGAUAGAGCACUUGAGAAAUGAAAAUGAUAAGACUCUGCACAUGAAUUGACUUGAAAAAGCAAGUGGCUUCAAUUAGGCAUGUAUUAUUAUAUGAGCUCAUGAGCUUAUGCAUUAAUUGAGUUUAAUUUUCUGAAAAUAGUGGAAUUAUGAAACAUCUUAUUUGAUUUCAGAUAUUUUAAGGCAGAGCAAAUUGAUGAAUACCAAAAGCUUUUAAUGGAAGAAAAUUGAAAGAGUAAUAAACUUGUUUGGUAAAUAGAUUUUUUUUCUCUUUUUGUGUUAUGUGCGGUUUGUUUGUUUAUUAGAUAUUACUUGACAACGGUGAGAGAAGUUUACUAGUAUUGCUUGCUAGCUCUAAGAAAAUUUACCAUUUGAAGUUUUACAUGCAGAACCUUCCACACCUUUAUUGAAUCCUGAGUUCAAGGCUACUUGAUCCAUGAUUGCCUAGAAUUAUUUCCAUUGUCAUUUCAUCUUUUGAUUCGCUUUGGAUAUUUCCUCGGGUAUUAUGUAUGAGUAUAUUCAAUCUGUUUUGAAUAUGUUCCCCUGUUUCUUUCAUCUUUCCCACUUUCUUGUGCAUAUUUAAUAUAUCACCACAUUCUUUUCUCUUCUGUUUUUGGCGGUGGGGGUUGGGGAGGGAGUGUGGAGGGGAAUAAAAUUAGGUCUAAGUUUCCUAAUGGUAGUUUACAGGACAGUGUUGCUUACAUUUUCAGAAUAGUUGAAACUUCCCAAGAUUCCAAGGCUUUAAACUUACAAGUGAAGACAAUUGCACUUGUAUCAAUUUCUAAGCUAGAUAUGCCAGAACCUAUAGCUUGACUAGUAACUGUGCCUUAUGAUCUAUGUUGUGUAUAUUGAAGCAUCACCUGAUGGAGGUCACAAAUCCACUGAUUCAUGUGCCCAAAAUCAAGUCAUUAAUGUGAUUCUGAUCACGCAAGUGACUAAUUGUUGGGUGCUGUUUGGUAUUUCACUUGAUAAUCUGAAAGAAUGUUAAUUUUGGCUAGCUUAUUAUGGACAAGGACAAAUGCCAGACCACUUUGCAAACUGAUUCAAUCUUGUAUGGAAUAUAGAUAGAGCCAAUUGGGUACACCACAUCCAAAUUCCUCUCUAUUAGGUUCCUGUCAAUUGCCGGCCAAAUGACUACAGGAUCAUUGGUCUACUCUACCUCAUUCACCAUUUUGAACCUUAUACAAAAGGUUUUUCCAGACCAGCUUCUUUGUUGCUGAUGCACUAAGUAGAAGGCUUUUCGCCGUUAGGAGCUAUGUUUGUUGAAGCUGUUGGGUUCGAGGCUAUAAAAUGUCAGUACAAGAUGGAUCCUUAUUUCCUUUUUUUCCCCCCUCCUGUGUAGACAUCGUUUCAACCUUCAUCUAUCGCAUCUGAAUAAACUAUUUCUACUGCAUUUGAGGAAGCUAGCAAUAUCCAUGUGCAAAGGAUUCUCCUCAACUAAUGAUGGAAUGAGCUCUCAUCCACCUUCAUGAGUAUGAAGAUGCUAACUUGUUUACUGGUUCUGAGACUUGCCAACAGCAUAACCAAUCUGUGAGAAGCCCAACAACAUUGGAAAAACCUUUAAGCGGCAUCUUCAAGCUCUGUAGAUAUGCAACCUUUAAUCCAAAUCUUGGAAGACGUUCAAUUGCAGUUGUUAUUCAUGAUGAUUCGGGCACUUUUUGGCGGGUUAUCUGUCCCCUGAAGGUGCAAAUGAUGAUACACAAUAAUAAUAAUAAUUUUCCUUUUAAUAGUGAAUUAAAGUUCUUGUUGAUUUUGAUCAUUUUAACUUAGGCCCCGUUGGCUUGAAGGAUAAAAAGGGGUAGGAAAUUUGUAAGGGUGGGUCUCACAUGUGGGUUAGAUUGACAAGGAAGUGAAAGGAAAUGUAAUAAUGGAAUAUGUUGUUUUUAGUGGGAUGAAGUUUUAUGGGAAAGAGAAGAAAUGAAGGUGGGAUGGAAUUCAAUGGGAAAAUGAAAUUGGAGGGAUGAAAUUUUAUUAGAAGAAAUAGGAAGAGGGAUAGGGAGACACAAAACAACUUAGAAGUGAGUGGAAUAGAAAAAAUUAAGUGCCAUAUUUAACUCAUAUUUGUGAUAGAUUGUGAAUAAUAAGUAUAAAAUUUUCAUUCUUUU